GACGUGACUUCAGAGUUUGAUCCUGGCUCAGGACGAACGCUGGCGGCGUGCUUAACACAUGCAAGUCGAACGCUGAAGCCUGCAGCUUGCUGUGGGUGGAUGAGUGGCGAACGGGUGAGUAACACGUGAGUAACCUGCCCCUGACUCUGGGAUAAGCCCGGGAAACUGGGUCUAAUACCGGAUAUGACCAUUCUCCGCAUGGAGUGGCGGUGGAAAGUUUUUCGGUUGGGGAUGGGCUCGCGGCCUAUCAGCUUGUUGGUGGGGUGAUGGCCUACCAAGGCGACGACGGGUAGCCGGCCUGAGAGGGCGACCGGCCACACUGGGACUGAGACACGGCCCAG
RNAcentral lists this ribosomal RNA (341 nucleotides) under uncultured bacterium. Its description in RNAcentral is "bacterial SSU rRNA". It matches the Rfam family "Bacterial small subunit ribosomal RNA", at positions 1 to 334 of the family's 1533-position model. The record is from RNAcentral.